CCUACGGGAGACAGCAGUGAGGAAUAUUGGUCAAUGGCCGCGAGACUGAACCAGCCAAGUCGCGUGCAGGAUGACGGCCCUAUGGGUUGUAAACUGCUUUUGUCCGGGGGUAAAAGGCGCCACGUGUGACGUUUUGCAAGUACCUCAUGAAUAAGGAUCGGCUAAAUCCGUGCCAGCAGCCGCGGUAAUACGGAGGAUGCGGGCGUUAUCCGGAUUUAUUGGGUUUAAAGGGUGCGUAGGCGGCAUGUUAAGGUCGCCGUGAAAUUCCGGGGCUCAACCCCGGCAUUGCGGCUAAAACUGGCUUGCUUGAGUGAGCGAGACGUAUGCGGAAUGCGUGGUGUAGCGGUGAAAUGCAUAGAUAUCACGCAGAACUCCGAUUGCGAAGGCAGCAUACCGGAGCGCUACUGACGCUGAUGCACGAAGGCGUGGGUAUCGAACAGGAUUAGAUACCCCUGUAGUC
RNAcentral lists this ribosomal RNA (460 nucleotides) under uncultured bacterium. RNAcentral describes it as "partial 16S ribosomal RNA". It matches the Rfam family "Bacterial small subunit ribosomal RNA", at positions 338 to 795 of the family's 1533-position model. The record is from RNAcentral.